AGUGAACGCUGGCGGUAGGCCUAACACAUGCAAGUCGAACGGCAGCACAGUAAGAGCUUGCUCUUACGGGUGGCGAGUGGCGGACGGGUGAGGAAUACAUCGGAAUCUACUUUUUCGGGGGGGAUAACGUAGGGAAACUUACGCUAAUACCGCAUACGACCUACGGGUGAAAGCAGGGGAUCUUCGGACCUUGCGCGAUUGAAUGAGCCGGUGCCGGAUUAGCUAGUUGGCAGGGUAAAGGCACACCAAGGCGACGAUGCGUAGCUGGUCUGAGAGGAUGAUCGGCCACACUGGAACUGAGACACGGUCCAGACUCCUACGGGAGGCAGCAGUGGGGAAUAUUGCACAAUGGGCGCAAGCCUGAUGCAGCAAUACCGCGUGGGUGAAGAAGGUCUUCGGAUUGUAAAGCCCUUUUGUUAGGAAAGAAAAGCAGUAGGUGAAAACCCCGAUGUUCUGACGGUACCCAAAGAAUAAGCACCGGCUAACUUCGUG
RNAcentral lists this ribosomal RNA (492 nucleotides) under uncultured bacterium. Its description in RNAcentral is "partial 16S ribosomal RNA". It matches the Rfam family "Bacterial small subunit ribosomal RNA", at positions 29 to 507 of the family's 1533-position model. The record is from RNAcentral.